This 403-nucleotide ribosomal RNA is filed under the name uncultured bacterium. Its description in RNAcentral is "bacterial SSU rRNA". It matches the Rfam family "Bacterial small subunit ribosomal RNA", at positions 355 to 775 of the family's 1533-position model. The record is from RNAcentral.
UGGGGAAUAUUGCACAAUGGGCGAAAGCCUGAUGCAGCAACGCCGCGUGAGUGAUGACGGUCUUCGGAUUGUAAAGCUCUGUCUUUGGGGACGAUAAUGACGGUACCCAAGGAGGAAGCCACGGCUAACUACGUGCCAGCAGCCGCGGUAAUACGUAGGUGGCAAGCGUUGUCCGGAUUUACUGGGCGUAAAGGGUGCGUAGGCGGACCUUUAAGUGAGAUGUGAAAUCCCCGAGCUUAACUUGGGGGCUGCAUUUCAAACUGGAGGUCUAGAGUGCAGGAGAGGAGAGUGGAAUUCCUAGUGUAGCGGUGAAAUGCGUAGAGAUUGGGAGGAACACCAGUGGCGAAGGCGGGUAACUGGACCGCAACUGACGCUGAGGCGCGAAAGUGUGGGGAGCAAACAG